This is a long non-coding RNA of Astyanax mexicanus (Mexican tetra), 1112 nucleotides long. RefSeq lists it as uncharacterized. The record is from RefSeq and is a predicted model, not a curated record. NCBI's taxonomy places the organism in Eukaryota, Metazoa, Chordata, Actinopteri, Characiformes, Acestrorhamphidae. The transcript has 3 exons.
ACGGGUGGGUAAAUAGAUAGGUGGGAGAUAGAUGGGUAGGUAGAUAUAAAGGGUGAAGAUAGAUGGGUAGGUAGAUAUAUAUGUGGGAGAUAGAUGGGUAGGUAGAUAUAUAGGUGGUAGAUAGAUGGUAGGUAGAUAUAUAGGUGGUAGAUAGAUGGGUAGGUAGAUAUAUAGGUGGCAGAUAGAUGGAUAGGUAGAUAGAGAGAGAUAGACGGGUGGGUAGAUAGAUAAGUGGGAGAUAGAUGGGUAGGUAGAUAUAUAGGUUGAAGGUAGAUAUUAGGUAGAUAUAUAGGUUGUAGAUAGAUGGGUAGGUAGAUAGAUAGGUGGGAGAUAGAUGGGUAGGUAUAUAGGUGGUAGAUAGAUGGGUAGGUAGAUGUUAAGUGGUAGAUAGAUGGAUAGGUAGACAGAUAGGUGGGAGAUGGAUGGAUAUGGAAGCAGACGGGUAGGUAAAUAUAUAGGUGAUUGAUAGAUAGAUAGGCGAUAGAUUGGUAGGUAGAUAUAUAGGUGGGAGAUAGAUGGGUAGGUAGACAGGUAGGUGGGAGAUAGAUGGGUAGGUAGAUAUAUAGGUGGGAGAUAGAUGGUAGGUAGAUAGUUAGGUGGUAGAUAGAUGGGUAGGUAGAUAUAUAGGUGAAAGAUAUAUGGGUAGGAGAUAGAUAGAUAGAUAGAUAGAUAGAUAGAUAGAUAGAUAGAUAGAUAGAUAGAUAGAUAGAUAGAUAGAUAGAUAGAUAGAUAGGUGUACAGAUGGGUAGGUAGGUAGAUAGAUGGGUACACAGAUGGGUAGGUAGGUACGUAGGUAGGUAGGUAGAUAGAAGGGUGUACAGAUGGGUAGGUAGGUAGGUAGGUAGAUGGGUGUACAGAUGGGUAGGUAGGUAGAUAGAUGGGUGUAUAGAUGGGCAGGUAGAUAGAUAUAUGGUUGUACAGACGGUUAGGUAGGUAGAAGGGUGUACAGAUGUGUAGGUAGGUAGGUAGAUGGGUGUACAGAUGGGUGGGUAGGUAGAUAGUUAGGUGUACAGAUGAGUAGGUAGGUAGAUAGAUAGGUAAGUAGGUAGAUGGGUGUACACAUGGGUAGGUAGAUAGAUAUAUAGGUUUACAGAUAGGUAGGUAGGUAGAUA